AUUGAACGCUGGCGGCAGGCCUAACACAUGCAAGUCGGACGAGUGGCGGACGGGUGAGUAAUGUAUGGGAAACUGCCUGAUGGCGGGGGAUAACUACUGGAAACGGUAGCUAAUACCGCAUACCAUCAGAUGAACCCAGAUGGGAUUAGCUGGUAGGUGGGGUAACGGCUUACCUAGGCGACGAUCCCUAGCUGGUCUGCGAGGAUGACCAGCCACCUGGGAACUGAGACACGGCCCAGACUCCUACGGGAGGCAGCAGUGGGGAAUAUGGCACAAUGGGCGCAAGCCUGAUGCAGCCAUGCCGCGUGUAUGAAGAAGGCCUUCGGGUUGUAAAGUACUUUCAGUGGGGAGGCGUUACCCACAGAAGAAGCACCGGCUAACUCCGUGCCAGCAGCCGCGGUAAUUC
This 406-nucleotide ribosomal RNA is filed under the name uncultured bacterium. RNAcentral describes it as "partial 16S ribosomal RNA". It matches the Rfam family "Bacterial small subunit ribosomal RNA", at positions 30 to 526 of the family's 1533-position model. The record is from RNAcentral.